Molecule: ribosomal RNA, 253 nt
Filed under: uncultured bacterium
Lineage: Bacteria
Description: partial 16S ribosomal RNA
Rfam family: Bacterial small subunit ribosomal RNA
Source: RNAcentral
UACGGAGGGUGCGAGCGUUGUCCGGAAUUACUGGGCGUAAAGUGUGCGCAGGCGGCCGAGCAAGUCGAGUGUGAAAGCCCCGAGCUUAACUUGGGAACUGCGCUCGAAACUACUUGGCUAGAGUGUGGCAGAGGGAGGUGGAAUUCCACGUGUAGCGGUGAAAUGCGUAGAGAUGUGGAGGAACACCGAUGGCGAAGGCAGCCUCCUGGGCCAACACUGACGCUCAUGCACGAAAGCGUGGGGAGCAAACAGG